CCACGUGAUCCGUGUCGCAGCUAACGCAUUAAGCGCCCCGCCUGGGGAGUACGCCCGCAAGGCUAAAACUCAAAGGAAUUGACGGGGGCCCGCACAAGCGGCGGAGCAUCCGGAUCAAUUCGAUGCAACGCGAAGAACCUUACCAAGGCUUGACAUAUACAGGAAAACUGCAGAAAUGUAGUCCCCCGCAAGGGUCUGUAUACAGGUGGUGCAUGGUUGUCGUCAGCUCGUGUCGUGAGAUGUUGGGUUAAGUCCCGCAACGAGCGCAACCCUCGUCCUAUGUUGCCAGCACGUUAUGGUGGAAACUCAUGGGAGACUCCCGGGGUCAACUCGGAGGAAGGUGGGGAUGACGUCAAAUCAUCAUGCCCCUUAUGUCUUGGGCUUCACGCAUGCUACAAUGGCCGGUACAAAGGGCUGCAAUACCGCAAGGUGGAGCGAAUCCCAAAAAGCCGGUCUCAGUUCGGAUUGAGGUCUGCAACUCGACCUCAUGAAGUCGGAGUCGCUAGUAAUCGCAGAUCAGCAACGCUGCGGUGAAUACGUUCCCGGGCAUUGUACACACCGCCCGUCAAGUCACGAAAGUCG
This 582-nucleotide ribosomal RNA is filed under the name uncultured Actinomycetes bacterium. RNAcentral describes it as "bacterial SSU rRNA". It matches the Rfam family "Bacterial small subunit ribosomal RNA", at positions 832 to 1413 of the family's 1533-position model. Lineage: Bacteria; Bacillati; Actinomycetota; Actinomycetes. The record is from RNAcentral.